This 500-nucleotide ribosomal RNA is filed under the name Dialister pneumosintes. RNAcentral describes it as "bacterial SSU rRNA". It matches the Rfam family "Bacterial small subunit ribosomal RNA", at positions 28 to 492 of the family's 1533-position model. Lineage: Bacteria; Bacillati; Bacillota; Negativicutes; Veillonellales; Veillonellaceae. The record is from RNAcentral.
GACGAACGCUGGCGGCGUGCUUAACACAUGCAAGUCGAACGGAAAGAGAUGAAAGAGCUUGCUCUUUUAUUAAUUUCAGUGGCAAACGGGUGAGUAACACGUAAACAACCUGCCUUAAGGAUGGGGAUAACAGACGGAAACGACUGCUAAUACCGAAUACGUUCUAAGCAUCGCAUGAUGCAUAGAAGAAAGGGUGGCCUCUACAAGAAAGCUAUCGCCUUAAGAGGGGUUUGCGACUGAUUAGGUAGUUGGUGAGGUAACGGCUCACCAAGCCGACGAUCAGUAGCCGGUCUGAGAGGAUGAACGGCCACACUGGAACUGAGACACGGUCCAGACUCCUACGGGAGGCAGCAGUGGGGAAUCUUCCGCAAUGGACGAAAGUCUGACGGAGCAACGCCGCGUGAACGAAGAAGGUCUUCGGAUUGUAAAGUUCUGUGAUUCGGGACGAAAGGGUUUGUGGUGAAUAAUCAUAGACAUUGACGGUACCAAAAAAGCAAGCC